Molecule: long non-coding RNA, 3521 nt
Organism: Alnus glutinosa
Lineage: Eukaryota; Viridiplantae; Streptophyta; Magnoliopsida; Fagales; Betulaceae
Exons: 7
Source: RefSeq, a predicted model, not a curated record
CGAAAGCCAAAACUCUUGCAGAAAUUUUCUGGAACUUCUCUACCUCUUCGGUAGCUCAGAAAAAAAUAAAGAAGAAACAUCUUCUUUUCUUUUACCUCUCCACCGAUCAGAACCUAGAAGGGAACUAGAAAACCUUCCUCCUUCAAUCGGUGAAGAACCCAAAACAAAGCAGCAGCUCCUUCCUUCUUAAAGCUGCAGAAAAUACCUCAAAACCUUCUCUAUGUCUCUCGGUCAAGCUCACUUAAGAACCAAAAUAGAAACCAACAACAUUUCUCCCUUUUUAGUUGCAGAAAACUCCCCAAAAUCUCCCUCUCUCUCUCUAUGGGUCUCGGUCUGUGACUCUCCUACAAAGAGAGAACGAGCUGGAGAGAGAGAGAGAGAGAGAGAGCUGUGAGGAUGGAGAGAAUGGAGAGGUGGGAAGCCCUCUUUCGUGCUCUGUUCAGAUCAAAGAGGAGAAAUAUUUCAUCAAUAACCACUUGAGCUUCAGAGUCAUGUAUCACAAGGAUCCUGAGACUGAUUCUGCUCGGAUCGUUGGGUUUGAGCAUUAAUCGUGAAUAUAAGGAUUGGGAUGAUAAGAAUCCUCAAUUGGCAACAUGCAACAAAGACACCAAAAAUUCAAUGCAAUGUAGCUUUGUUCCACAAGAUGUUGUCGGAGAUUAGGUGGUUGUUUAUACGUAUGAUGUUUCAUUCAAGGAAAGUGAGAUCAAAUGGGCAUCUCGUUGGGACACAUACCUCCUCAUGAAUGAUGAUCAGAUCCACUGGUUCUCCAUCAUAAACUCUCUGCUGAUUGUCCUCUUCCUUUCUGGCAUGGUGGCCAUGAUGAUGAUGAGAAUUCUGUACAGAGAUAUUGCCAACUAUAAUCAAUUGGAAACUCAAGAUGAGGCUCAGGAAGAAACGGGAUGGAAACUUGUCCGUGUAGAUGCUUUCAGGCCACCAAUCAAUUCUGGCUUACUUUGUGUUUAUGUUGGUACUGGUGUUCAAAUAUUUGCAAUGACACUUGUGACAAUGACAUUUGCAUUGCUUCGUUUCUUAUCUCCUUCCAACUGAGGGGGGCUAAUGCCUGCCAUGGUUCUCUUAUUGCAAAAAGAGGAGGCGCUAAAAGUUUGUGUGACCAAAGCAAGUGAAGUUAGUGAAAGAGAAAAGGUGAUGGGGAUUCUAUGAUGCGAACCAUGACUCUAGCUACUAUUGGGUAUAUGGCACCAGAGUGUGGAUUGGAAGGACUUGUUUCAACAAGAGGCGAUGUGCAUAGUUAUGGUAUUUUGUUGAUGGGAACUUUCACAAGAAAGAAACCUACAGAUGACAUGCUUUCUGGAGAAAUGAGCUUGAAGCAUUGAAUAGAUGAAUCAUCACCCCUUUCAGUAGCUAAAGUUCUUGAUGUCAAUUUGUUGAGUAAUGAAAGAGAUUAUGCUUCUAUUGAGGAUUGCAUAUCAUCUGUAAUGGGAUUAGCUUUGUAGUAUUAUGUUGAGUUACCUCAACAGAGGAUUAAUGCAAAAAUUAUUUUAUUCACUCUCAACAAGAUCAAAUUGAAGUUUCUACAAGAUUCUAAAGGAUGCUAGUAUGAGAACAUCAAGUUUGUUUAUAGUUCUUUCAUGUUUGUGCUUUCGAAAUAAUAUAACAUUCUUGACAAUCCCUUAAAGAGAUUUGUUUAUAGCCACUACUUUGUUAUGGUAGUUAAUAAUAGUAACAUUUAUAAGUGGUAUAAUUACUGAUUAUAGUGACCUGUAAUGAGCCGAGGGAACUAGAUGAAGAACAAUGGAAGAACAUAUGUUGAUCAUGUUAAUAAGUCAUCAAUCAAGGAAACCAUGUCAGAUUUUGAUCUGAGUAUGGAAAGAGUUGAAUCUCUUGUUGUAUUAAGCUUUGGAGCUCGUUUAUACGGAGGACGAGAUACCUUUUUUAGUUUUAUUUUAUUAUUUUUAUAAUAAAAAGAAAUUCCAAAAGAAAAGGCGUGAAAGACUUUUCCCCUUUGCCCCCAUUUUAGAAAACCCAUUUUCCUCAAAAUUUCAAAAUUCCCAAACCUCAUCCCUCCGUCUCCACCGUCCCCCUCCCCCACCCAUUGUCGACCGCUGCCUAUCCCACUCUGACCAUGUUGGACGCCGCGCGCCUACCAAGCCGACCGUUUCAGUUUCCCCCUCACCCACUGAUAGCGUUUCAGCUUCUCUCCACCACGAGCACCGCCGAUCGUCACCCACCGCCAACCAGGAGCUCCAACGCAGACCCACAGUCGAUCAGUCUCUCUCUGACUUAUCCAUGGGUUUUUCUUGAUUUAUUGGUAUGGGUAGGUGUUAAUUUGAGUUUUGAAUAAAUAUUGGCAGCAGGUCUUGAUUUUUCGAUUUGACAUGGUUUCUAUGGUUUUGUAUUCGUUAUUGUUCAAAAAUUUAGGUUCUUUCAAAAAUCCCUGUUCUUUUUUGUAUUCGUUGAUGGCUCAUGUCGUAAAGAUAUUUCAGGUUCUUGUUCAGAAAAUCACAGUACUACCUAACUACGAUUAAUCAAAUAUGAUUCACUAGGAUAUAAACGUAGCAUCGCUACUUCUUCAAGCAAACAAAGCUUUAGAAGAAAGAAACAGCCUAUUAAUUUUUCCACUUUCCUAGAGCUUGAACAUGAUAAAGUACCGAAAAAUGAUUUCCACAACUAAUUGUCUGUUUCUUUGUUUCUCUUCAAAAGUUCAAAUAAUGAUUUAAUGUUGCUUCCAUUUACACAUAACCAAACAGAUCCUAGACUCUACCUUAAACUAAAUGGUAGAUGGCAUUGCCAAUUUCCAUUUUAUAGAUUGUGCUAAUGUUUGGGUUCUCUUUCUUUCUUGCAAAUGGUUGUAUGGUCAUAUGUUGGUGAAUUUUUGUUAUUAUCUGUUUCGUUUGCUGGAAACUUUUGUUGGGAUUGCAAUGUUUUCUUCGGUUUUUGGAUAUUUAUCAGAUGAGUUUGAGAAAUUUAUGGUCUAGAAAACAAUUAGAAAAUUUUUUUUAUUUGUUGAUUUGAUUGUAGAGUAAUUGCCAAUUACUCUGAGGAAGCACUAAUUAGACCCGAUUUGGUUCACUACUUCAAUGAUUUGGUUGUACAUAUGGAUAAGAGAUUUUUGUGCACUCCCACGUAUUUGAGUUGUCUGCUUUGGCUUUUUCAAAGAAAAUAGAUCUCUUGAAUUUUUUUUUGUUACUGGUGGGUGAAUUGUUAACCAUUUCUCUUACUUAUCAUUAGAUUUAGCUGCUUCUAAGUGAUGUGUGGUUUUUUUGCAUUUUUUGGUAUUGCUAAGUUCUUGUACAGGUUUUACAAUAAAUUCAGUUGCAAUGAUAGAUGAUCAUGAAAUUCGAAAAUGCAAAAGGGUGAAAGAAGUUUGCUUUUAAUUUUCAUGGACAUCCAAAUGCUUCUUGAAUUAGUGCAACAUAAUGUUUUACUUUUUUAUUUGUGGUUUUCUAGUAGUUAAACUUUGUCACUACUACUUGCUUGCAUCCUUGGAAUUCUUUCACACGUAUAUGUAAGUUGUGAUCAAACUUGUUUCGACAAAUACAUUACUCAUUUAUCUUGGUCAU